AGAUUGAACGCUGGCGGCAUGCCUUACACAUGCAAGUCGAACGGCAGCACGGGAGCAAUCCUGGUGGCGAGUGGCGAACGGGUGAGUAAUAUAUCGGAACGUGCCCAGUAAUGGGGGAUAGCCCGGCGAAAGCCGGAUUAAUACCGCAUACGACCUACGGGUGAAAGCGGGGGAUCGCAAGACCUCGCGUUAUUGGAGCGGCCGAUAUCAGAUUAGCUUGUUGGCGGGUAAAAGCCCACCAAGGCAACGAUCUGUAGCUGGUCUGAGAGGACGACCAGCCACACUGGGACUGAGACACGGCCCAGACCUCCUACGGGAGCAGCAGUGGGAAUUUGGACAAGUGGCGCAAGCCUGAUCCAGCCAUGCCGCGUGUGGGAAGAAGGCCGUUGGGUUACGUUAAACCGACGUUUUGUACG
RNAcentral lists this ribosomal RNA (416 nucleotides) under uncultured soil bacterium. RNAcentral describes it as "bacterial SSU rRNA". It matches the Rfam family "Bacterial small subunit ribosomal RNA", at positions 26 to 444 of the family's 1533-position model. The record is from RNAcentral.